Molecule: ribosomal RNA, 807 nt
Filed under: Arthonia sp. Ug9
Lineage: Eukaryota; Fungi; Ascomycota; Arthoniomycetes; Arthoniales; Arthoniaceae
Description: mitochondrial SSU rRNA
Rfam family: Bacterial small subunit ribosomal RNA
Source: RNAcentral
CAGUGAGGAAUAUUGGUCAAUAGCCUGACGGCUGAACCAGCAAUUUGCAAUAAUGAGGAUAGGUAUUUCUAACGAGACCUGCAGUUAAUACUGUCUUGAUCCAGUGGUUUAUCCACAAGAAGUUAUGGAUAUAAUAAAGAUAAUGACUAUUUUAUAUUCAUUUUGUCUCGACAAAAUCACGUGCCAGCAGUCGCGGUAAUACGGGAGAGACUAGUGUUAUUCAUCUUUAAUAGGUUUAAAGGGUACCUAGACAGUUAAUUUAGCUCACACAAGAGUACAAAUUAUACUAGAGUUUUAUGUAAGAGAAUAAGUUUAGUACUAAUAGAGUAGAGAUGAAAUUUUUUGAUACUAUUAUGAACUGGUAACGGCGAAAGCAAAUCUUUAUGUAAAAACUGACGUUGAGGGACGAAGGCAUUGGUAACAAACAGGAUUAGAUACCCUAAUAGUCUUUGCAGUCAAUUAUGAGUGCCAUAGUUAAGAAAAUUUUUAUCUAUAAAUGAAAGUGUAAGCACUCCACCUCAAGAGUAAUGUGGCAACGCAGGAACUGAAAUCAUUAGACCGUUUCUGAAACCAGUAGUGAAGUAUGUUAUUUAAUUUGAUGAUCCGCAAAAAACCUUACCACAAUUUGAAUAUUUUUAGUGUUAUUACUAUUUAUACAAGUGUUGCAUGGCUGUCUUUAGGUAAUGUCGUGAGACGCAGGUUAGAUCCAUUAAAAUAACGCAAUCCCUUGCUUUAUUUAUUUUUAUAAGGCAGUUCUCCGGUAUAUCGGAUAAGAUAACAGGGAUCAAGACAAGUAAUCAUGACCUU